Long non-coding RNA from Mus musculus (house mouse), 1146 nucleotides. RefSeq annotates it as predicted gene, 36311. NCBI's taxonomy places the organism in Eukaryota, Metazoa, Chordata, Mammalia, Rodentia, Muridae. The record is from RefSeq and is a predicted model, not a curated record. The transcript has 2 exons.
GGUCCUCGAAAGCCAGGGGCACACUCGCAGCUCCCGUCCUCCGGGGAGCAGGAACCUCCGUUCUCACAGCUGCAGGACACUGAACAGUUGGGGCCCCAGCGACCUGGAGGACACGUGCUAUCACAGCGGAUGCCUGUGGACCAGACACAGAGGCAGGAAUCUCAUGCUGAGAAGGAAAAGGCUGAGGACCUGAUGCUGACCAGAUGGGGAGUUUGUCUCCCAGGAUGAAAGGAAACCUCACACAGAUGACGAUGAUGAUGAUGACGAUGGGGGAGCCCCCACAUCUUGGCCAUGACUGCUUAGUUAUGUAUACCUCUCCCCUUCUAACCUGAACCUCAUGUCAAGACUCCAGGAUAGGCAAGGUGGUGGGAGUGGAGUGUCACUGGGCUUGUGGCCAUACGCCAUAUUGAACACAUCUCCUUUUCUACUUUCACUAUCACCUGUCCCUUGAGGACAGGUGGCAGAGACUAGCUGUUAGAACUACCAAGGGCCCACACCCUGACAACUCCAGGGAUGGUCUCUUGUCUGGCUUCCCCCUCGUGCCUAUUUUUAAUUCUAUAUUGAAUCCUUUUCAAAAAUAGCUCCAUUUCUGAUUACCACAGACGGGCCCUGAAACUCUCUGCUGAGACCAAGAACACUGUUCUCUGCAGUGGAGGUCUCUGAGACAACACCUCCUGUUGCUAUGGAUGACAGUGCAAGGCUGUCCCUGCCAGCCCACUCUCUCUGUCUGCUUACACAGUACAUUCACUGCCUAAGAACAGUAGGACAUCAGAGGAUGUGCCCGUGUCUGAACCCAAAUGCACCGGUGCUUGUGUGUUCUGCUAUUCCAUCUAAGACACUGAGCACUUCUGGGAAGGAGGCACCUCUGCCCACAGGAUCUUGUGCCCGUCUUCCACAACAGGCUGCUUCCCUCUAUUCCACCAGGCCUCCUCAUUCUGCUCCAGGAGGCAGCUGUGGACUUCCUCCUCUAUGAGGCCUGUUAAUUACGGAUGCAGAGUGGGCUGCUUACAUUCUGAACCUGAUAUGAGAGUUGCUGAUGCACGGAACCCUCGAUGCUGCUCCUGACAGAUGGAAGCCUCUCCUGCCCGACUGGCUGGACCCAACCCUGGUGCCUUAUGUGUUCCAUAAAAUUUGUUUCAAACAUUG